ACGCUCGACACCUAGGAGGCAGCAGUGGGGAAUAUUGCACAAUGGGGGAAACCCUGAUGCAGCGACGCCGCGUGAGCGAAGAAGUAUUUCGGUAUGUAAAGCUCUAUCAGCAGGGAAGAUAAUGACGGUACCUGACUAAGAAGCUCCGGCUAAAUACGUGCCACAGCCGCGGUAAUCUGAGCGGGCUGGCAAGGC
Molecule: ribosomal RNA, 195 nt
Filed under: uncultured bacterium
Lineage: Bacteria
Description: partial 16S ribosomal RNA
Rfam family: Bacterial small subunit ribosomal RNA
Source: RNAcentral